CAGCAGCACCAGCAGCUCUCAAUAAUAAUAACAACGAAAAAGGUAGGAAUUGAGAACAGAUUACCAUGGAACCUGGUAUUCUGGGGAUUUGUUACUGAAGAAGUGAGGACAGAAGUGAAGAGACAAACUUCCAGCCCUGGAACCAAUUAGUGCAGGAGUAGCCCCUUCACAAGUCCACCAGACACAUUUUGGGCAUGGAGACAGAGGCAGGUGCUACUCUGGAGAAGUAAUCAACAGCACCUCUGUUCUAAGCAAAAUAAAGAUGACAGCCAAGGUGUUGAAGGACCAGUGGCUGUUCAUGGUCAUCUUUCAGCCCUCAUGAAGAAAGUCAACACACACUCAAUUCUCACCGCCUGGUGGUCAUUUUAUUCUGCAAGCUCUGAAAGAAAAAAACACACAAAUAUACAGGUUAGUCAGCAUGUCUGUGUAUGGUUUACAGCUACACUAACAGCCUGGUCUCUCAAAGCUGGCCGUCUGUCAUAACACGUCACCAUGCCAAUCCACCUCUGUCACCCAUGCAGGCCUAACAAUGGCUUGUUGGCAGUGACAAACACUCCCUCUUGCCAAAAUGGAGGAAACAAACCACACACACACACACA
Long non-coding RNA from Carassius carassius (crucian carp), 599 nucleotides. RefSeq lists it as uncharacterized. The record is from RefSeq and is a predicted model, not a curated record. Lineage: Eukaryota; Metazoa; Chordata; Actinopteri; Cypriniformes; Cyprinidae. The transcript is spliced from 5 exons.